UACAGAGGGGGCGAGCGUUGUUCGGAAUUACUGGGCGUAAAGGGCGCGUAGGCGGCCUUCUAAGUCGAACGUGAAAUCCCCGGGCUCAACCCGGGAACUGCGUCCGAUACUGGGAGGCUUGAAUCCGGGAGAGGGAUGUGGAAUUCCAGGUGUAGCGGUGAAAUGCGUAGAUAUCGGAAGGAACAUCGAUGGCGAAGGCAGCUUUCUGGACAAAUACUGACACUGAGGCACGAAAGCGUGGGGAGCAAACAGG
This 253-nucleotide ribosomal RNA is filed under the name uncultured bacterium. RNAcentral's name for it is "partial 16S ribosomal RNA". It matches the Rfam family "Bacterial small subunit ribosomal RNA", at positions 524 to 776 of the family's 1533-position model. The record is from RNAcentral.